UACGUAGGGUGCGAGCGUUGUCCGGAAUUACUGGGCGUAAAGAGCUCGUAGGCGGCUUGUCGCGUUGUUCGUGAAAAUUUACCGCUCAACGGUGAACUUGCGGGCGAUACGGGCAGGCUAGAGUCCGGAAGAGGAGAGUGGAAUUCCUGGUGUAGCGGUGAAAUGCGCAGAUAUCAGGAAGAACACCCGUGGCGAAGGCGGCUCUCUGGGACGGUACUGACGCUGAGACGCGAAAGCGUGGGGAGCGAACAGG
Molecule: ribosomal RNA, 253 nt
Filed under: uncultured bacterium
Lineage: Bacteria
Description: partial 16S ribosomal RNA
Rfam family: Bacterial small subunit ribosomal RNA
Source: RNAcentral